GGGCUGCAACUAGGAAUAUUCGGCAAUGGGCGAAAGCCUGACCGAGCGACGCCGCGUGCGGGAUGAAGGCCUUCGGGUCGUAAACCGCUGUGGAGAGGGAAAAUAAUGAUUGUACCUCUCUAGAAAGCACCUGCUAACUACGUGCCAGAAGCCUCGGUGAUACGUAGGGUGCAAGCAUUAUCCGGAUUUAUUGGGCGUAAAGAGUAUCGUAGGCGGUUUUGUAAGUGAUUGGUGAAAGCCUCUAGCUCAACUAGAGAACUGCCAGUCAUACUGCAAGGCUAGAGUGAUUUCGGGAAGGCUGGAAUUCUCGGUGUAGGGGUGAAAUCCGUUGAUAUCGAGAGGAACACCAAGGGCGAAGGCAGGCCUUUAGAAAUCUACUGACGCUGAUGAACGAAAGCUUGGGGAGCAAAAGGGAUUAGAUACCCCGGUAGUC
Molecule: ribosomal RNA, 433 nt
Filed under: uncultured Microgenomates group bacterium
Lineage: Bacteria
Description: bacterial SSU rRNA
Rfam family: Bacterial small subunit ribosomal RNA
Source: RNAcentral